RNAcentral lists this ribosomal RNA (247 nucleotides) under uncultured bacterium. RNAcentral's name for it is "partial 16S ribosomal RNA". It matches the Rfam family "Bacterial small subunit ribosomal RNA", at positions 523 to 769 of the family's 1533-position model. The record is from RNAcentral.
AUACGGAGGGUGCGAACGUUGUUCGGAAUUACUGGGCGUAAAGCGCGUGUAGGCGGCUUGGCAAGUCAGAUGUGAAAUCCCUUGGCUCAACUGAGGAAGUGCAUUUGAAACUGCCAGGAUAGAGUACGGGAGAGGGUUGUGGAAUUCCCGGUGUAGAGGUGAAAUUCGUAGAUAUCGGGAGGAACAUCGGUGGCGAAGGCGGCAACCUGGACCGAUACUGACGCUGAGACGCGAAAGCGUGGGGAGC